Molecule: long non-coding RNA, 4712 nt
Filed under: Fukomys damarensis (Damara mole-rat)
Lineage: Eukaryota; Metazoa; Chordata; Mammalia; Rodentia; Bathyergidae
Description: lncRNA (ENSFDAG00000030227.1)
Source: RNAcentral
AUGACUUCAUGCUUUCUAAGACACCCUGUCCCCUUUAUUUCUCGGGAGUAUGUGCUUCCACCUGCUACCCAGCAGGGCUGUGGCAUUCAGUCUCAUCCACAUGCUUUUGCACCUGCCUUUUGCUCUACCAGAAUCAUUUCCUUGGUAAAUGCACAUAAGUCCUCAAGGUUCCAUUUUGAAACUUUGGCCAGUGGGUCCUUCCUGCCCAAAGUGUGUUGCCAAGGGCCCCUGCACCACUUCUGUAGGGAUGCUAUCUCCUCACUAGUCUGUUCUUCAAGACUGGGGGCUGCUGGACAACAGGGGACUGGAGGAGGAGAAAGAGGACCUGUGCAAGGCCAGAAAGUUCUGCAAGGACUGCUCAAGAGCAGGGGUCAGCAAACUAAGCCCAUGAACCAAAUCUGGCCCACUGCCUGUUUUGAUAAAGUUUUAUUGGAACAAAAAUUAAUUUAAUUAUUGCCUAUGGCUGCUCUCUGAACUACAGACCUACGAAACAAAACAAAAAUUUAGUGUGUUGUCCUUUAUAGAAAAAGCGUGCUGACUCCUUGUCUAGAGAAAGUCUCACAAUCUGACAAUCAUUGCUCUAAAAUUAAGUGUGGUCCUGGGCCAGGGGCACCAGCAUCCCUGGAACUGUGUUGGAAUGCCAGUUCUCAGGCCCCGCUCCAGCCCUGGUGAUGCAGAAAUGAUGGAGGAGGCCCAAGAAUCUGUGUGUGAGCCAGCAUGCCAGGUGAUUCUAAUGCUCCCUUAAGUUAAGAACUUCUGUUCCAAGUUACUCCCGGAAGGAGUGCCAACAAGUGACUGGCACAGCAAGAGUGCUAAUGGGCUCCUGUGGGUAACAGAGGAGUUUGGAAAGAUGUCAGGAGAGUGACAGCCCUUCUGCUGCCUGGUCCCUCUGCAGCAAAGUCUUUUGAAGGCCCCUAGGGGGGGCAGGGGGUAGCCACAAGAGGGAGGCUCUCACACCAGCAGCCGGCUGUGUGGAUGCCCAGGCCCUGCUGCCUGUGGGCCCCACCCUCAGAGUGUCGGCGCAUUUGGAGCUGCCUCCACGCAUAAAUUCAUGGACCAGCUGUCUCUUUUAAUCUGGUUGCAAGAUGAAACCAUUAAUAGAUGUCAGACACAUUGGCAAUGAUCUCUUCAUUAAUAAUUUCCUCCUUUCUGAGGAAAAAAAUUAGUAACAAGCAACCAUCAAUAAUUCAGAAGCACAAGUUAACCUUUCUAUUAGCAGAGUCACUGGCAUACACCGCACACUCCUCCAGAGCCAGGAGCUCUGGCUUGAGUAAUGUUUAGAUGGCAGGAAUAUUAAUAUGCACUAAUGCUGUCUGUCAAAACCUGCAAAUAUAAAUAACCCAAAUGCAACUUAGAAAUCAUAAGUAUGUUUCAAGUUUAACCUCAUGAUCCAACCAUUUGGUUCUGUAAGAGCACACAUUAUCCCAUAAUAUUGCUCUGUCCAAAAGCAAGACUUGACAAAGAAAUCCAUUUUCAAUUUGAGGCUCGUAUGGUCAGAAAGAUCUUUCCUUAUACCAAACUAACACUGCUGCUCUGUAAUUUCCUCCCUUCAAAGCUAGCUGUUCUCUCUGGGGACUCGCAGAAAUGGCCUGGACACAUGUCCAGGUGGCCUUUCAUUGGAUGGUGGAUGUGCUCCGGGCAAGCAUUCUCAGUUCCUUAUAAUCUUCCUGGUACAUGGUCUUCAGGUCCCCAGCAUCUGCUUCCUCUUCUCUGCCUGCUCCAUUUCUGGGAUACCCUUCUUCCAGGAAGGCUUAGCACCUGGCCAUUCCUCAGCUCACCGCCCACAUGACCAAAUACUAGUCACUCUGCCUUUCCAAAUCUGUUUCCCCAUCUGUGAAACUGGGGUGAUUAUUCCCACCUCACUGAGCUGAUGUGAGAAUUAAGUGAGUUAAUGGAUGUAAACACACCUACAAUAGGACCUGGCUGAUUCAAGAGAUCAUUGCCUGUGAUUUCUUCCUACUUCCAAGACUUAGAUAGAUCACACAGCCUAGCCUUCACUCCCAGCCAACUCUGCGAGAUACCUGGCCAGGAUCAUGGUGCAGAGAGCCAGCUGCCUCCACCUUGGGCCAAAACACUGCACAUGGUCCUAGCUAUUGGCAAGUAGACCUCAGUGUCCAGGCUGCCCUGCAUCUAAUACUUGGACUGCAUCUUGCCCAAGUGGAGUCUGUCAAGCAGCUGUUUCUUUUAAUUAAAAAGGAAACCAAGUGAAGUCUAGCAAAUACCUAUCAUGGCUGUUUGCACCCCUGGCAUGCAACGGGCCUUGUGCUGGGCAUUGAGGAUGUCAAGUUAAAGUGGCCCCAUCUGCAGGAUGCCCCAUCCAGCCCAUGCUGAGAGAUCACAGCAGCACACCAGAGAAAGGGUGUUAUUAGUAUUAGCAAGAUAACCUUCAAACAUGCCUGAGAUAUGGCUCCAGCCUUUGCUGCUUGCUUCAAGCAAUUUAGCUUUUCCGGCAAAGCAAAAGCCACUGCUGUCAUAGCAGCCUGGUGCUCUGGAGUUGGACAAGUGCCUUUUUAGAGUACUGAGGUUCCCCCAAGACUUUCAGCCCUUUUCCUAGUGCAGACUCCAAACUUGGAUUCUGGAAGAUUCCAAGUAGGGAUGGACUCAUCACUGCAAGGUGAGGUGAAUGUGUUACUCUUCCCCAUCCCCUGCCCUCAACCUGUCACCUACAAGCAUGGACCCAACACUGGUGCCCCCACUGCCUGAAGCAUGAAGUCCACAAUCCACACCAUGGCCAACAAGAGUGUCCUCUAGCUGACCCAGCCCCCCUUUAUAAGUCCAUCCCUUCCCUCAAGCACUUUAGACUCCCCCCAUUGGGAAGUUUCCAGGCAAAGGAAGAAGGGAAUUCCAGUGGAACAGCCUAGGCAAAUGCUCAGAGGCCUGAAAGAGUCUGUGUAUUCAAACAGGUGAGGAUGUGCCUGAAAGUCUGGGAUCUUAGGUGUAGUGGCUGUCUGUAAUCUGAUUUUAUUCCCUCCAGUGCACUUGCAUGCUCUUUACUCCAAGCCACACAAGACUCUCCCAGUUAUCUCCCUGUAGGCCUUUGCCUGUAUACUUCCUUCCCUCUGGAAUGCCAGAUUCAAGAACUUUUUUUUUAUCUUUCUUUGCCCUUAUCUGGCCAGGCCAAUCCUUACCCUUCAAGGCAGAGUUUGUGCAGUGUCCACAAACUGGAUAAAGAAUUAAUACCUUUUCCAUUCCUAACAUUCACAGAUGCACCUUCACCACAAGGAUGGCACCAUCUGAGGGUACCAGGACUGUGUCUUACCCACCCACACAUCCCCAAAACCAAGCCCCAGCACAACAUACAGCAAGUUCCCAGUAAAUGUUGCUUAAGACUAGGGCCAAACAUGUUGAAGAUGAGUUGCUUUCAGACAGGAGGGAUAGCAUCUAUUUGUCAAGGUCAAUGGGAAGGCCAACUCAUCAGACAGAAAUCAAAGUAAGGCUCUGGAGUGCCCAGAAUUAGAUGUAUCAGGGUGACAUUUCCCAACUGCCCAUGGUCCUAAGAACUAGCAGGAGAUCUUGUUAAUAGCUCAGAGUCCUCCUUUACCCAGGUUGAUAAACUGAAAUCUUCAAGGGACUGGAAGUUUGUCCUGUAAGACUAUACCCAUAGGAGUCUUACAAAAAAUCCUAAGUGGGUAACUAUCAGGACCACACAGGAGCAGCAUGGGCCGUGCUCUGGUCAGACUGGCAGAAACAUCUGCCAAAGAGGAACCACAGUGAAGACUGUAGAGACUUUAGUGGCCCUGUCUGCCCGUGCUCAGCCUUCUCCAGGUGGGUGGGGCUUCUCCCUCCAUCUCAGCUGUGCUUCUCUCUAGGAGUAGUCAGAGAAACUGUCAGAGAAAUUGGACAGUGACACCUCUAUAUACAGUUCUCACAGCUUAGCACCUCCAGUAAAACUUGAGACCUUCUGCAACUGCUUCCCAAAUUUUAUCUGAAAAUAAACCAGUAAGCUAGGCAUGGUAAUGUACUCCUCUAACCCCAGAACUCUGGAAGUUUGAGGCAGGAGGAUCAUGAGUUCAAGCCCAGCCCAGCCAUUAGCAAGACCUUGUCUCAAAAUUUAAAAAAACAAGAAAAGCUGAGGAUGUAGCUCAGUGUUAAGGCCCUGGGUUCAAUCCCAGGAACCCACCUCUCUGAUGGUUCACAUCUCAUCUUCUGGGCCAGGGAAGGCUUGGACCAGGGGAGGGGCUGGGUACUAAAAUGACCAGCCUACCUUUCUUAUUCACCAUGGCCACAGUAACUGACAGUCCUGCAAAGACUGGGUGCAUGGUGAGCAGUGUUUUCACCCAGUGAUCGUGGGCAGUCAAGUAACAUCUGUCCACCUCACUUAUGCCCUUUUAGCAGGUCGUCUAGAGAUCUAAGAAGUUACCUGGAGUCUGCCUUCCACCUACUUUCUCCUCCUUUCUGUUUUUAAUCAGUCAACGACUCCAUAGUUUAGUGGUGGUGAACCUAUGACACACGUGCCACACUGGGCUGUUACCAUUGAAAACUAUAAAAGGUUCACUGUCACCACCAUAGCUGAUUCAGCAGAAUAAAUACUAAUUCCUUAAAUUUCAGAAAAUAGCAUCUGUGUAAGAAGUAUUUUAUUAUGCUACUAGAAAUACAUUCCACCUAAAAUGUUAACCAUGAAUUUCAGCCCCCAGUAACUCACCACACACACACACACACACACACACACACACACACACACACACACACACACACACACACACACACACACA